This 2771-nucleotide long non-coding RNA is filed under the name Homo sapiens (human). RNAcentral describes it as "HSALNT0339258". The record is from RNAcentral. Lineage: Eukaryota; Metazoa; Chordata; Mammalia; Primates; Hominidae.
GCUGCCUCCUCUGACUGUGGUGGAGCAGCUCAGCAGGAUAAUAAGCUUACUCGCCUGACCUUGGGUCUCUCUCUCAUCCUUUCUCUUGGCUAACCUUCAUUUUGGUGCCAAAACCCAGGAAGGGGAUAGGCUCUGGCUGGGCGUCCUUAGAGGAUUCUCUCUCUCUCUCUCCUAUCAUCCCUUACCCAGCCAACCUCCCCUUCCCGAACCUGCUAAAGACCCUAAGGAUCUCCCAAAAUUCUCCCAUUGUUGGCCACCUCAUCCACCAUCAAAGCCUCUGAGAGGGUUUUUACAGGGCCGUGUUAGAGCCUUCACCCAUGGAACAGUACAAGACAUGAUGCUACUCCGAGAAUACCGACAGCUCCAGGAACAGCAGUCCCUACUACCCAGCCUCUCCCCCCAACCAUCGCCCCUAUCCAGCAAGAAGCAGCCAGAGGACAACGGCGCCCCUCUUCUAUUACCUAUUAAAAGGCUGGAAUGUUAGGAACAAGUUGCACCAGAACCCCUCCCCCUUCCCACCCGCCCCCGCACCCCCCCCCCCCCACCCAAUGCAGCUGUCCCUUACCCUGAAUACUCUGCAGCUGCAUUCCUGGACCCUUAUCUAGGCACUACAGCAAGGUCACCAGACUUGCUUACAGCCCUACGGGCAGCAUGGGGGAGGUCACGAGAAACGUGGAUAAACCUAAGUUACACCCUCUUGUAAAUUCCUAUAUUGUAACCUGGUCACGAGAUGAUAUGUGGUAAGGUUAACCAACAAACAACCCCAGGGUCUCUCUCCCCCAUAUAAAACCCUCAUUUUGUAAGCUCAGGGCUGCCUCCUUUGACUGUGGUGAAGCAGCCUGGCAGGUUAGUAAACUUACUCUCCUGACCUUGGGUCUCUCUCUCGUCCUUUCUCUCGGCUAACCUUACAGCGCCCUCAUCCAUUCUCCAAUUAUAAUGUGUUUACACCUUUCCUCCUGCAUGUCUCACAUUUUACCUUGUCAUCCUCUUACUUGUGUAUGUGUCUAUGCCUCCCAGCAUUUGACAGUACCUGAAGGUCAAAGCCUAUCUGCUGUUUACCCUUACAAUUCUAUUCACUCGGCACGCACUAGGCACAGAAUAAAUGCCAUUCAUCCCUACUUUUACUUCAGGGUACAUUUUAGAGAUCUAAGAUUUGGUGUAUCUUUCCCAUUAUCCAUUCUUAUUGCCUCAAGGCUCUCCUCUUAUAAAUCUAGUGGUAUGCAUUACUUUGGGGGUAAGGACAAAUUUAUCCAGAACAGAGAAGAUUUAGUUCAGUCUUUAGUUUUAAAAUAAGCAUUUUUAAGUAAUAGCAGAGACAAAAGUCUGAAAGCCAACAUAGUUUUAAUUUAAAAGAAAUUUGAUUUUGCUACAGCUUUUUGGCCAGGAGUAAGUGAGGAUGCUGUUUCGAAAGCUGGUUUUGCAUCUUAAGCAGUACGGUGUGGGUCUUAGGGGCUGGAGUGUAUCUUGCAGGAAACACAGAGUAGGCAAGAAUGUGAGGUGGUGUAAGACUAGUUUGUCUGGUUCAAAAAGUAAAAAAGAAGACUGAAAAAAGUAGGAAAUCUAACCCAAAGCAAUCAAUCUUUGAGAAGAGCCCAGCACACUUCCCUUCCAAUUGAUUUGUCCUACACCCCUCCAUGAGCCUAAGCAUUAGAGCAGAAAUGACUGAGGGUAGCAUCCAAGCCACUGGGCCAAGGGGCACUGGUACGAUGAGGAUACCGUGUCCCACAAUUCUAGGGUAGUCUGGGAAAAACAAAGCAGAGUUCCUGAGAAGAAUGCAGUAGUGGCUGACAGAACCAGAAAGGGUGUUGUAGUGAUAUGUGGCCAUGACAUCAGAAGACUAAAAUGAGGCUAUGGAUAUUCCCUAGCAAAUGUCUGGGGAACAGAGGCCAAAGCCGAAAGCUCAAGAAUUAAUGGAAUGACUACACCUCAACGAAGGUUAUAGAUUAGUGAGGACUGAUGAGUACAAACCAGACUCACACAUCCAUCCUCAUCCUCACUCCCCACCCCCAGGCUACAAUAUUACAUAUAUGUCCCCUACUCCUGAGGGAUGGAAAAGAGGAUGGGUAGGAUAAGUUCAAACUGCUUUAAUGGCUAACAAAAUUCACCUUUAUUCCUUUUUAUUUUUAGUUGACAUGUAAAAAUUGUACAUAUUUAUUGGCUACAGAGUGAUAUUUUGAUACAAGUAUAAAGUGUGUAAUGAUCAAAUCAGAGUAAUUAGCACAUCAAUCACCUCAAAUAGUUAUCACUUAUUUGUACUGGGAACACUCGAAAUCCUUUUCUAGCUUUGAAAAAAUAUACAAUAAAUUAUUGUUAACUGUAUUCACCACAUAGCACUAUACAACAGUAGAACAGAAUUUAUUCCUCCUAUAUUGCUGUAAUUUUGUAUCUGUUAAUUAACCUCUCCCUAGCCUCCCCUCCCCCUACCCUUCCCAAUCUCUCAUAACCACAAUUCUACUCUCUAGAUCUAUGAGCUCAUUUUUUAAGUCCCUGCAUUUGAGUGAGAAGAUGAAGUAUUUAUCUUUCUGCGCAUGACUUGCUUUGCUUAACAUAAUAUCCUCCAGAUUCAUCCACGUUGGUGCAAAUGGAAGGAUUCCAUACUUUAUUUUAUGGCUGAUUAUUGUUCCAUUGUGUGUAUACCAUAUUUUCUUUAUUCACCUGUUUAUGGAUAUUUAUGUUGAUUCCAUACGUUUGCUAUUGUGAAUAGUGAUGCAAUAAACAUAGGGGCAUGCGUAUCCCUUUGAUAUACUAAUGUCCCUUCCUUUAGAUAAAUA